AGGGUUUGAUUCUGGCUCAGAUUGAACGCUGGCGGUAUGCUUAACACAUGCAAGUCGAACGGAAACGAAACUAGCUUGCUAGUAGGCGUCGAGUGGCGGACGGGUGAGUAACGCGUAGGAAUCUGCCUGAUAGUGGGGGAUAGCCCGAAGAAAUUCGGAUUAAUACCGCAUAAUCUAUUCGUAGUAAAGUGGGGGACUUUCGAGCCUCACGCUAUCAGAUGAGCCUGCGUAAGAUUAGCUUGUUGGUAGGGUAAAAGCCUACCAAGGCAACGAUCUUUAGCUGGUCUGGGAGGAUGAUCAGCCACAUCGGGACUGAGACACGGCCCGAACUCCUACGGGAGGCAGCAGUGGGGAAUAUUGGACAAUGGGGGCAACCCUGAUCCAGCAAUACCGCGUGUGUGAAGAAGGCCUGAGGGUUGUAAAGCACUUUCAAUUGUGAAGAAAAGUUAACGGUUAAUAACCGUUGACCUUGACGUUAACUUUAGAAGAAGCACCGGCUAACUCCGUGCCAGCAGCCGCGGUAAUUC
RNAcentral lists this ribosomal RNA (527 nucleotides) under uncultured bacterium. RNAcentral describes it as "bacterial SSU rRNA". It matches the Rfam family "Bacterial small subunit ribosomal RNA", at positions 8 to 526 of the family's 1533-position model. The record is from RNAcentral.